Molecule: ribosomal RNA, 1557 nt
Filed under: Salmonella enterica
Lineage: Bacteria; Pseudomonadati; Pseudomonadota; Gammaproteobacteria; Enterobacterales; Enterobacteriaceae
Also listed under: 1 other name
Description: partial 23S ribosomal RNA
Rfam family: Bacterial large subunit ribosomal RNA
Source: RNAcentral
GAAUGCUGACAUAAGUAACGAUAAAGCGGGUGAAAAGCCCGCUCGCCGGAAGACCAAGGGUUCCUGUCCAACGUUAAUCGGGGCAGGGUGAGUCGACCCCUAAGGCGAGGCCGAAAGGCGUAGUCGAUGGGAAACGGGUUAAUAUUCCCGUACUUGGUGUUACUGCGAAGGGGGGACGGAGAAGGCUAUGUUGGCCGGGCGACGGUUGUCCCGGUUUAAGCGUGUAGGUGUGUGUUCCAGGUAAAUCCGGUUCACUUUAACACUGAGGCGUGACGACGAGGCACUACGGUGCUGAAGCAACAAAUGCCCUGCUUCCAGGAAAAGCCUCUAAGCAUCAGGUAACAUCAAAUCGUACCCCAAACCGACACAGGUGGUCAGGUAGAGAAUACCAAGGCGCUUGAGAGAACUCGGGUGAAGGAACUAGGCAAAAUGGUGCCGUAACUUCGGGAGAAGGCACGCUGACACGUAGGUGAAGUGAUUUACUCAUGGAGCUGAAGUCAGUCGAAGAUACCAGCUGGCUGCAACUGUUUAUUAAAAACACAGCACUGUGCAAACACGAAAGUGGACGUAUACGGUGUGACGCCUGCCCGGUGCCGGAAGGUUAAUUGAUGGGGUCAGCGCAAGCGAAGCUCCUGAUCGAAGCCCCGGUAAACGGCGGCCGUAACUAUAACGGUCCUAAGGUAGCGAAAUUCCUUGUCGGGUAAGUUCCGACCUGCACGAAUGGCGUAAUGAUGGCCAGGCUGUCUCCACCCGAGACUCAGUGAAAUUGAACUCGCUGUGAAGAUGCAGUGUACCCGCGGCAAGACGGAAAGACCCCGUGAACCUUUACUAUAGCUUGACACUGAACAUUGAGCCUUGAUGUGUAGGAUAGGUGGGAGGCUUUGAAGUGUGGACGCCAGUCUGCAUGGAGCCGACCUUGAAAUACCACCCUUUAAUGUUUGAUGUUCUAACGUGGACCCGUUACCCGGGUUGCGGACAGUGUCUGGUGGGUAGUUUGACUGGGGCGGUCUCCUCCUAAAGAGUAACGGAGGAGCACGAAGGUUGGCUAAUCCUGGUCGGACAUCAGGAGGUUAGUGCAAUGGCAUAAGCCAGCUUGACUGCGAGCGUGACGGCGCGAGCAGGUGCGAAAGCAGGUCAUAGUGAUCCGGUGGUUCUGAAUGGAAGGGCCAUCGCUCAACGGAUAAAAGGUACUCCGGGGAUAACAGGCUGAUACCGCCCAAGAGUUCAUAUCGACGGCGGUGUUUGGCACCUCGAUGUCGGCUCAUCACAUCCUGGGGCUGAAGUAGGUCCCAAGGGUAUGGCUGUUCGCCAUUUAAAGUGGUACGCGAGCUGGGUUUAGAACGUCGUGAGACAGUUCGGUCCCUAUCUGCCGUGGGCGCUGGAGAACUGAGGGGGGCUGCUCCUAGUACGAGAGGACCGGAGUGGACGCAUCACUGGUGUUCGGGUUGUCAUGCCAAUGGCACUGCCCGGUAGCUAAAUGCGGAAGAGAUAAGUGCUGAAAGCAUCUAAGCACGAAACUUGCCCCGAGAUGAGUUCUCCCUGAGACUUAGAGUCUCC